CUGAUUGGAGUACUUGGUUCUUUAGCUUUAUCCUCUGUUGUUCCUCUUGCCUGGUUCAUCAAGUAAAUUGUGGUCAGAUUCUGAAGAUCACACUCGAGCAAACUGUUACUCUGAAUGUUCCAGAGCAUAAAAUUGAUCACAAGAACAGCAACAACAGCAAGAUCAAUUGUGUGAACUGCAACAACAGCAUGACAAAUUGACAAAUCAAGAGUAGGUGAGCUGCUCCAUUUUCAGUAACAGUAUUGCUGUCACCGUAACUUGCUUUCCAUUUAACUUGAUUUACUGUUAAACUUGACAUAUAUGGUCAGUUUAAAAAUGUUCACAACAAGCAAUAUAUGGUCAGUAUGCAAAUGGUUGAUUUACUCCAUUUUUAAAACAACUGACACAGUUACACAUUUUUAAAACAACUGACACAGAUAAAUGCCAAAUUUAUAUGUUCAGUAAGGUGAUUUGCUGAAUUUAUAUGGUCAGUGAGGCGCUUUGCAAAAUUUUGAAGCAGCAAAUUCAGUUAGGUGCUUUGCUGAGUACUCCGAGGUGGGAGAUAAACAUGCUAGUACUCCUAGGUGGGAGUACUCCAAAGGAUACAGAUAAAUGCCAAAGGAGUAGAGCUGAUAUGUACUCCUAUAGUUUCUGCCAGGAUAUGUAUGAACGACCAAUGUGUCAAAGAGAACAGUCAAAGAGAGCUUUCUAGUGGCAUGUGGCACAAUGCAAGAUUACUCCAUAUGUGUAAUACUCCAUUUUGUGAGACUUGUAUGUGUAACUCCAUUUUGUGAUCAUUUUUACUCCAUAUAUGUGUAUUUUUUGUAUGUGUAAUUCAAAAGUUUCAUUUGCUUGUGCGGAGUACUCCAUUUAAAUGAAAGAGAAGAGAAGAGAGUAGUAGGAGAGAAGAUGAGUGAAUUUAGAGAUGAGAAGAUAAUUUAGAGAAGAAGAGAACAAGCAAAGUAGUAGGAGAGGAAAGGAGUGGGAGAGGAGAGGAGUAUGGAGGGCACAAGGGAAGUACUCCAAUAAACCCUACACUAAACUACAGAUGCAAGAAGAGAAAGAGAAGAGAGAAGAAGAGAGAAGAGAAGUCCUACUGUAACUGAAAAAGUUUCAGUUAAGUAACUGAAAAAAUUCAGUUAAUGAACUGAAACUUACACUAAACAACUGCUGUCCUACACUACUGUUGUCCUACACUAAACUACUGCUUUCCUACACUAUACUACUGCAACUGUUAAAUUAACAGAAAAAGUUAAUCCUACUCCAGAUUGCUGCAAACCAAAUGUUUCUAAAAACAAAUUUUCAGAGUACUUGCAUGUUCCUCCAACAGUAACAAUUUUAAGCUAAUCUACGAAGUCAACAGAAGAUUCAUGACAAGAUUAACAGUAGCAGAAGCUUCAUGUGCUAAAAUACUGAAGCUUCAUGGGCAAAAUCACUGAAGCUUCAUCUGCAAAAUUACAGAAUUUGCAAAAUUUUGAAAACUGAAUUCUGUAAAUAGUCUUACCUUUGAAAAUAUUCAGCUCAGGAGUAUUUGUUAUCAAAGGUAUCAUGAGCUUAGCUUGAAUAAAACGACCCCCAAAACUGAGAAACAGGAUCCCACAUGGAGUAAUCUACAGUACGAGGUUAGUGAUGAACUCACCUAGCAUUUCGUCAAGUUCACUGAAGAGAUCAUUGAGCAGGUCGCGCUUAUGCUUCUCCCUCUCUGCUUUGUGAAAAUAAUCCUCGGGGCCUUCUUAUUGCACUUGCCGUCAGUGACAGGCCUGCGGAUCGAAAGCUACUGCAUCAGCAGCAAUGGAAACAUGGGCCUCAUUGCAGAAUUUUGGAAUCUCAGGAACUUUGGAGCAGACGAAAACAUCCUCACACGGAUCAGCAGGUCAUGUUCCUGUUUUCUUCAGAAUUUUACACAAAAUAAGGUUCAAUUCCUCCUCUAUACAAAUCCUUAGCAAGAACUACCCUGGGAACUAAACUACCAACGAAAUCAAUCACAGCAACUAAACCAUGGAGUAGAAGCUAAUCCUACUCCAGAUUGCUGCAAACCAAAUGUUUCUAAAAACAAAUGUUCAGAGUACUUGCAUGUUCCUCCAACAGUAGGAAUUACUCCUAACAGAGCACUACUCAUCCUCUCACAGUAGCAACUCAAGAUGAGCACUACUCCAAAACACCUGACAGUUUGAAGAGAAACCAAAGCUCAUGUAGGAGCAGAGCAAGAUAAGCACAACCAAAGCCUCACACAAACACAAGAUGAAAGAUCUCCUAUGAGCAUCAGCUUCUCCUACUCCAAGGAGUAGAGGGCUAGAACCACCAAGGGAACAACCGCAAUGAAAAGAACAAAGUAACGUCACCCAGUAAUCUGCACUAUACAACUUGCUGCUCCAGUAAUUGGAAGGAAUACUCCAAUACUGGUGUAUUGGGAGCAAGAGUACUGAAACUUGCCAACUGGCAAGAGUACUGUUGUUGUAAAACUACUGAAACUACUCAUGCAACAGUGGAAUUUUCAGUGGAGUAGCUGCAAAAUUCAGUAAAUACUGAUGUACUCCUACUGCAAACAAAAUUAAAUCAGCAAAUACUGAUGUACUCCUACUGCAAACAAAAUUCAGACACUAUAAACUGCAUCUGAUGCAGUACAACUACUUAUAGUUCAUCUACUGAAAGCACAUGAACAAAAUUCGGACACUAUAAACUGCAUCUGAUGAAGUAAUUUUUCAGGAGUACUGGAAUACUUGAAUCACAGUGCAUCUACUGAAAGCACACGAACAUGAACAACAACAAUACUCACCAUCGUCGUCGGGGAAGCACGCUGCAACUUGCUCCAGCUUGGUUCAGCCCUCCUCUGCUCCAGCUUGUCGGCGACGAAGCUACAUGGUCGGAUGCCGCACGUUGGGGGCGAGCUCGGGGAGGCGUUGGUAAAGCUCGGAGAUCUGCACCUGCUUGAAUCGCCAAGUUCAAUCCUCGUACCAAGCUCCGAGAGGCGUUGGUAGAUGAGCAGCAGCGAGGGAGCGAGGAGGAGCGACGUACCGCAGCUGUUGGCGUUGGAAUGGAGGAAGGCGGUUGCAGAUCGAGCCGCCGCGCUCCGGAUCAGCCGCCGGAGAAUAAAAAUGAGAUCUUGGCGACGGCGACGGCGACGGAGCCAAUGGAAAGGCGGCGACGACGCGAGCGAGGCAGAGGACUGGUUAUUGCUACCAUAUGAAAUAUUGAGAUUGAUGAUUGAAAGUUGUGCUAUAUUUCUUUGGAUUACAACAUCUUCACAGUAAUCUGACCAUCUCUAUGCAAUUGGUGUGCUGAACCAAAUUUGACACAUCCCAUCUGUCCAACCAAAUACAAGAACUAAACCGACCCAUUCCU
Molecule: long non-coding RNA, 3321 nt
Filed under: Triticum aestivum (bread wheat)
Lineage: Eukaryota; Viridiplantae; Streptophyta; Magnoliopsida; Poales; Poaceae
Description: long non-coding RNA (TAES_LNC016628)
Source: RNAcentral